CUCGGACUUGGACUCUGGGGAGGA
This 24-nucleotide non-coding RNA is filed under the name Cricetulus griseus (Chinese hamster). Lineage: Eukaryota; Metazoa; Chordata; Mammalia; Rodentia; Cricetidae. The record is from RNAcentral.